GUUGCGUUUGCACUUUUAAGUGCUUUGUUUUUUAAGACCAACUUCUGCUUUUUAUGGCAUGUCUGAGCUGACUCUGAGUGAGGACAUUUAUCACCUGUGUGCUUUUUCUCCUUUAUCAUGGUCUGGUUAAAUCUUUCUCAGACACUCGGCCCUCGCUCCUGCAGUGUUAACAGUCUGACAUGAUGGAUGCUAGUCAUGAGAGAGGGGGCACAAACUAUUGGAGCAUAUCAAGAAAACAUUUCCUCCAACCUCCAAAAAACAUGCAGGACGGUGUAGUGCUGAAUUGCCCCUCUACUAGAGAAAGAGAGAGCGGUGAGGGAACGACUGUUUAUAGAUGCUAUGAUGUAAGUUAGAACAGGAACCCAUUAGUUUUAUGGAAGACUUUGUGGUUAAACUCCUUGUUUCUUUUUUUUGUUAAUCAUCUAAUUUAGCAGAUAGGUUAAAAGGGGGGGGGGGUAUUUUUGGUUUCCAAUUUUAAUGAAUAAAAUAGCUAUUGUGUUAAUAAUCUAUAUCAGUAUUAAGUAAUUCUAACAUAAUAAUUCUAUUUAGCUAAUUUUGUUCUUUGCUAUAAUUCUGAUGAAAUAGUUCUGGUACUCGUCCUUAUCAAAAACAAAUGCAGUUGACUUGCACAACCACACUGUGGCGCUGUUUACUUUAUUCCAGGCUGGUUUUGAUGGGUCAUAAAUCAUGACCAGGGAAUCUAGAUGUAAAAAAAAAAAAAAAAAAAAGUUUACAUAAAAACGAUUUGCUUAUAAUAAUAAUUAUUAUUUUCAUCAUUCCUCAAAUAUGUUGCGUCAUUGAACACAAAUAAAAGUAUAAUUCAGUGAAUCACCUCUGGCUGAUAGCAGAAUGAUUCAGGCUAUGGAAAGAAAGGUUACUGGGAGAAAGAAUCCUGAUUGGUUGGGUCUCAGCACUGUGGGUGAGUACUGUGUAUCUACCGCCAAACCUGUUCUUUUAUAAUAUAUUUAUUUUCUUUUUGAUCAUCAGGUGUUUGUGUAAAACAUAAUUAUUUAAAAAAAAAAACACGUCAAACUUUUUUUCAAACGUGUAGGAAAAUU
Long non-coding RNA from Ictalurus furcatus (blue catfish), 1058 nucleotides. RefSeq lists it as uncharacterized. The transcript has 3 exons. The record is from RefSeq and is a predicted model, not a curated record. Lineage: Eukaryota; Metazoa; Chordata; Actinopteri; Siluriformes; Ictaluridae.